RNAcentral lists this ribosomal RNA (461 nucleotides) under uncultured bacterium. Its description in RNAcentral is "bacterial SSU rRNA". It matches the Rfam family "Bacterial small subunit ribosomal RNA", at positions 30 to 490 of the family's 1533-position model. The record is from RNAcentral.
AUUGAACGCUGGCGGAAUGCUUUACACAUGCAAGUCGAACGGUAGAGGGGGCAACCCCUUGAGAGUGGCGAACGGGUGAGUAAUAUAUCGGAACGUGCCCAGUCGUGGGGAUAACGUAGCGAAAGUUACGCUAAUACCGCAUACGAUCUAAGGAUGAAAGCGGGGGAUCGCAAGACCUCGCGCGAUUGGAGCGGCCGAUAUCAGAUUAGGUAGUUGGUGAGGUAAAGGCUCACCAAGCCAACGAUCUGUAGCUGGUCUGAGAGGACGACCAGCCACACUGGAACUGAGACACGGUCCAGACUCCUACGGGAGGCAGCAGUGGGGAAUUUUGGACAAUGGACGCAAGUCUGAUCCAGCCAUUCCGCGUGCAGGAUGAAGGCCCUCGGGUUGUAAACUGCUUUGUACGGAACGAAAAGGUUUGUCUUAAUACGAUGAGCUCAUGACGGUACCGUAAGAAUAAG